RNA transcript from Drosophila persimilis, 2999 nucleotides. It is a transcript of the gene named sodium/hydrogen exchanger 6, with no coding region annotated. The record is from RefSeq and is a predicted model, not a curated record. Lineage: Eukaryota; Metazoa; Arthropoda; Insecta; Diptera; Drosophilidae. The transcript has 15 exons.
GAGUUGAUUUAAGAAUAAAUUGCUAAUAAAUAGCACAUAAUAGAGACAGAUAUUCAAUUGCGGCCUGGCCUAAGCGUGGCCUGUCGCAAAACCCCUGCUCCAAGCCCCUUUCCCCUCGCACGAUUGGUGUUUGUGUUGUGCGCGAAAUCAAUUACAGCCGCGGGGCCAACGUCGUAACGUGAAAAUCGAUUUCGGUUUUCUCGGCGCUGUGCAAGCAGCUGCGUCACAAAAUGUCCAAGUGCAAUGAUGUUACAGAAAUAGAAAUGGCAUCGCAGACCGCUGGGAAAACAACUGACGACCUUCGUCAUCAUCCCAUUCACCACACAUCAUCCCGGCCACAGGAUUGCGCGAGAAAUAUGUUCCUACUCGUUGCCGUGGUAGCAACAAUGACCACCGGCUGCAGUGCCACGGACACGGACAUUGCGCUUGAUGCGAAGGCCACGUUGAACCAUCGCAUCCAAAGCCUCGAUCUGCUGGUCUUUGUGUUCCUCCUGGCGCUAACAGUCCUCACCAUUUGGCUGUUCAAACACCAUCGCGUCUCCUGGCUGCACGAGACCGGCCUAGCCGUCAUCUACGGCUUGAUUGUGGGUGCCAUUAUACGAUAUGCGGGCAACUCCACUCCUCUGGUCCACAUACAGGUAGAGCCCCAGGGUACACCAUCGUACAGCGAUAAGCUGCCUCCUGAUACGCUUUGGUUUAAGUAUCCCGUUAAUCAGACGAACGGGACAAAGCUGCCGGAGGGCAUUAAGACGUACGCGUAUGUGUUCCGUGGCCAGGUCUACGAUGUGGAUGAGAAUGAAAUUGAUUUAAAGGCCACCUUCGAUCCGGAGGUGUUCUUUAACAUUAUCCUACCGCCAAUUAUAUUCUAUGCGGGCUACAGCUUGAAGAAGAAAUAUUUCUUUCGUAAUUUGGGUGCCAUACUGACAUUUGCCAUUGUGGGUACCACAUUGUCGGCCUUUCUCAUUGGCGGCUUCAUGUACGGCUGUGUGAAACUGAUGCCAAAGUACUUGAGUAGCAGUUUCACAUUCCUGGACACUCUCUAUUUUGGAGCCCUCAUUUCGCCCACAGAUCCGCUCACCAUUCUAGCCAUAUUCAAUGAUCUUCGGGUCGAUGUUAAUCUCUAUGCGCUAGUUCUGGGCGAAUCUGUGUUGAACGAUGCGGUGGCCAUUGUCCUCAGCGGAGCUAUUCAAAAUUAUGGCGAACAUUACUCCAAUACGGGGGAGUUUGAGACCACAGCUUUUUUGCGUGCAAUGAGCGAUUUCUUUUCCAUAUUCUUCCUGUCGCUGCUGAUUGGUGCAGCCAUGGGCUGUUUUACGGCUUUGUUGACCAAGUUUACGCGCGUACGCGACUUCCCCCUCCUGGAGUCUGCGCUCUUUGUGCUGAUGAGCUACAGCACCUUUCUGCUCGCCGAGGCCACAGAGCUGACGGGUGUGGUGGCCGUUCUUUUCUGCGGCAUCUGUCAGGCGCACUACACGUACAACAAUCUGUCCGAGGAUUCACGGCAACGCACCAAACAGAUCUUUGAGUUGCUUAAUUUUCUGGCCGAGAACUUUAUCUUCUCCUACAUUGGCGUGUCGAUGUUCACGUUCCCCAAACAUCACUUUGAUGCUGGUUUCAUCAUUACCGCUUUCAUCUGCGCGGCCUUGGGACGGGCCGUGAAUGUGUAUCCCUUGUCCUGGUUGCUCAACAUCAGGCGGAAGCCAAAAAUCUCAUCCAAUUUCCAGCAUUUGCUCUUCUUUGCGGGCUUACGUGGUGCCAUGUCUUUUGCCUUGGCCAUACGGAAUACGGUUUCGGAUGCACGACAGACCAUGUUGACAGCCACAUCGUUGAUUGUCAUCUUUACGGUCAUUAUACAGGGCGGGGCAGCCAAUUUUCUGCUCAAUUGGUUGAAAAUACCUGUUGGCGUUGACGAUGAGACUGAACAAUUAAAUAAUUACCAAGUGCACAGUGUAUACAAUUCCAUGGACAAUUCACAUCCGCAGACGUCUGAUGGUUAUUUGCAGGACGUGGAAAGCGGUGGCGGAGGUCGUGGCAAAAUGCGUUUGUCUGGCGGCGGCACGGAGUCCAAUGUGGACACGCCCGUGGACGGGCCGAAUGGAAGUCUGGGCAGCACAGGCGGCAGCGUCAACGGCGGACGUCGUCGCAAUAGUCACGAGAAAGCCAUACUGGCCAGGAUCUGGGGUAGCUUCGACACGAAGUACAUGAAGCCCCUGCUGACGCAUUCGCGGCCCACGCUGCUGGAGACGCUGCCCGUUUGCUGUAAUCCCAUUGCCAGGCUGCUCACCACCACGCAGCAGCUAACACAGGAUGGCAGCGAGUUCAGGCGCGUUGACUCCGACUCGGAUAUAUGCAUAGACAACGAUACUGGGAAUGGUCUCAGCCAGGAUGGCCUGGCCGGAGCUGCAGUUGCAGCUGGUGCCCCGUUGGGGCGGCGCAACUCAUUAAGUCGCACAAUCCAAUUGAAUGAAUCCAAUCGCAUUGCAAACGAACUCACUCUUGUCACGAAUAAUUUCAUGUAAAAUUGGAGAUCUCGAAAGAACAACUUUCUUCCUAUAAUUUACUUACUAUUUAUUCUAUGCUAUUCUUAGUCUGUUUUGUUUUUUAUUUUGUCUACUUUUCCUAGCCGAUAAACCAUGUCUGUCUGUCCAUGAUAUAAAUCUACUCUAUAACCGUUUAACAAAGGCUUCCUAUAGCUCACAGCAACUGAUCAAAUGUUCUUUGGUAUCUUAAACUUUUAAUUUCUGUAUUUAUUUCUCGUAAUCGAAUUUCUUAGAUUCUAACACGCGACUAACCAUGCCCCAGGCGAUGAUCAUCGAAAUGUUUAUAUAUAAGUUUUUCGUUUCUUUGGUUGUUAUUUAUUGUAAUCGGGUCUCAUUGCAAACAUGUACAAAUUAGUUAAUUACUCUUCAGUUUAUGCUCUUUUACGAAAUGUUGUGAUUCGGAACCCUAGUUUUAAACAAGAAUAAAACACACACAAAGUUUGUUAAUUUAUCAAGAAA